CGAGGGGUGCAAACGUUAUUCGGAUUUACUGGGUGUAAAGGGUGUGUAGACGGUCUGUUAAGUUCGUUGUUAAAUUUUUCAGCCUAACUGAAAGCUUGCGAUGAAAACUGGCGGACUUGAGGGUGAAAGAGAGAAGUGGAAUUCUCGGAGUAGCGGUAAAAUGCGUAGAUCUCGAGAGGAACACCGAUGGCGAAAGCAACUUCUUGGUUCACAUCUGACGUUGAAACACGAAAGCGUGGGGAGCAAACAGGAUUAGAUACCCUGGUAGUCCACGCUGUAAACGAUGAUCACUGGAUGUCAGCUUUGCUUUGCAAAGUUGGUAUCGAAGCUAACGCGUUAAGUGAUCCACCUGGGAACUACGAUCGCAAGAUUA
This 373-nucleotide ribosomal RNA is filed under the name uncultured organism. RNAcentral's name for it is "bacterial SSU rRNA". It matches the Rfam family "Bacterial small subunit ribosomal RNA", at positions 526 to 896 of the family's 1533-position model. The record is from RNAcentral.